Molecule: ribosomal RNA, 458 nt
Filed under: uncultured bacterium
Lineage: Bacteria
Description: partial 16S ribosomal RNA
Rfam family: Bacterial small subunit ribosomal RNA
Source: RNAcentral
CCUACGGGUGGCAGCAGUGAGGAAUAUUGGUCAAUGGGCGAGAGCCUGAACCAGCCAAGUCGCGUGAGGGAGUACUGCCCUAUGGGUUGUAAACCUCUUUUGUCGGGGAGCAAAAGCCGGACGUGUCCGGCUGUUAGAGUACCCGAAGAAAAACCAUCGGCAAACUCCGUGCAAGCAGCCGCGGUAAUACGUAGGAUGCGAUCGUUAUCCGUUUUUAUGGGUGUAAAAGGGUGCGCAGGCGGAUCUUUAAGUUAGCGGUAAAGUCGUGGGGCGAAACCCCAUCCAGCCGUUGAAACUGGGGGUCUUGAGUGUGCAAGAGGUAUGCGGAAUGCGUGGUGUAGCGGUGAAAUGCAUAGAUAUCACGAAGAACCCCGAUUGCGAAGGCAGCAUACCGGUGCACAACUGACGCUCAGGCACGAAAGCGUGGGUAUCGAACAGGAUUAGAUACCCCAGUAGUC